CCUACGGGAGACAGCAGUAGGGAAUAUUGCUCAAUGGGGGAAACCCUGAAGCAGCAACGCCGCGUGGAGGAUGAAGGUUUUCGGAUUGUAAACUCCUUUUGUUAGAGAAGAUAAUGACGGUAUCUAACGAAUAAGCACCGGCUAACUCCGUGCCAGCAGCCGCGGUAAUACGGAGGGUGCAAGCAUUACUCGGAAUUACUGGGCGUAAAGAGCGCGUAGGCGGGAUAGCAAGUCAGAUGUGAAAUCCUAGGGCUUAACCAUAGAACUGCAUUUGAAACUGUUAUUCUAGAGUAUGGGAGAGGUAGGUGGAAUGCGUGGUGUAGGGGUAAAAUCCGUAGAUAUCAAGAGGAAUACUCAUUGCGAAGGCGACCUGCUAGAACAUAACUGACGCUGAUGCGCGAAAGCGUGGGGAGCAAACAGGAUUAGAUACCCUAGUAGUC
This 440-nucleotide ribosomal RNA is filed under the name uncultured bacterium. RNAcentral describes it as "partial 16S ribosomal RNA". It matches the Rfam family "Bacterial small subunit ribosomal RNA", at positions 338 to 795 of the family's 1533-position model. The record is from RNAcentral.